AAAUCACCUCAUUUUUUCAAUAAAGGGCGACUUUAUUAUCUCAAAAUGUAGCAUCAAGCGGAUAGAAAGCAUUAUAAGUAACACCCGGCCUCUGCAUGACUAAGAUACACAUAGCCAAAUCCAGAAGUCUGACAAAAAUACAUGAAAUAAAAAUCGACAAAUCGGCAACAGUAGAGUCCUUUAGACCAACACUAUGCCUAUGUCGAACGGGAUGGUGUAUCGAUCUGUAGGUUAUGCUGCCACCCAUGUUGGGAAAAAACCUCCAUAGCCACCUGCUCCAAUAGCGUACACACCACCAUGAACAGCGGUUGGUACUUCGGCCGUUGUAGUAUAGCCCACGUACGUAGCGAGUGCGUACACCAGAAAAUAACCUAUAGAGAAGAAGCAUUUUUUUCAUUAAAAACCAAAUCAUUUCUAGAUAGACAGAGCGACCAAAUUAAGGCAUACACUCCCACCCUAAUUAGCGUUUUGAACCUAUUUGUAAUGGGUCUGUCUAGGACACAUUUAGAUGUGACAUAAUUAUGUCACAUCUAACCUAAUAUCCAUAAUUCUGUGGUCUAUUUUUUUUGUUCCAGUUUUUUUUCCUUGUUGUUGUGUUAUUUGUGGAAUCUUAUAUGUGACAUCCUUAGAAAACAUCUAGAUGUAAAUUAGUCAAACUGAUUUGUAAUACCGUCCAACCAAUGACCAAAAAUAUUAGCUGAGUGAUAAGUUGUAACUCUUCAGGAGUCAAUCAAUCAGAUAAUGAAUUGUGUACUGUACAAAAUCGUCUCGGAUUAGCGGAUGAGAUAAAAUCAUGUCACACCGACAGCAUAACACAACGCGAUUCGGCUUACCAUCUUGAGCUCUUUGUCUGGUGCUGGGGCGGCGAACGAACCGACGGCCGCCCGCUUGGAGCCCGGUGGCGCCGGGGCGGACGGGCCCGGCGGGAGGCUAAACCUCGGCCUCCAGGAGGAGGAGAGGUCGAGGAGGAGGCUUGGGAGGAACCCGAUGGCGAGGCCCGGGAGGAAGUUGGCCGGACGCAGCCCCCCCGCGAGCCACGGCUCCUCGUCCUGCGAAGGGGGCG
Molecule: long non-coding RNA, 1063 nt
Filed under: Triticum aestivum (bread wheat)
Lineage: Eukaryota; Viridiplantae; Streptophyta; Magnoliopsida; Poales; Poaceae
Description: long non-coding RNA (TAES_LNC025423)
Source: RNAcentral